GAUGAACGCUAGCGAUAGGCUUAACACAUGCAAGUCGAGGGGCAGCGAGGGUAGCAAUACCUGUCGGCGACCGGCGCACGGGUGAGUAACGCGUAUGUAACCUGCCCGCAACAGGGGGAUAACCCGGCGAAAGUCGGACUAAUACCGCAUAAAACCGGGGUCCCGCAUGGGAAUAUUUGUUAAAGAUUUAUCGGUUGCGGAUGGGCAUGCGUACCAUUAGGUAGUUGGUGAGGUAACGGCUCACCAAGCCUUCGAUGGUUAGGGGUUCUGAGAGGAAGGUCCCCCAGACUGGGACUGAGAAAAGGACCAGACUGAUACGGGAGGGAGCAGUGAGGAAUAUUGGUGAAUGGACGAGAGCCUGAACCAGCCAAGUCGCGUGAAGGAUGACUGCGCUAGGGGUUGUAGACUUCUUUUACAAGGGAAUAAAAGGAGAUACGUGUAUUUUAUUGAAUGUACCGUGGAAAUAAGCAUCGGCUAACUACGUG
Molecule: ribosomal RNA, 485 nt
Filed under: uncultured bacterium
Lineage: Bacteria
Description: partial 16S ribosomal RNA
Rfam family: Bacterial small subunit ribosomal RNA
Source: RNAcentral